RNAcentral lists this ribosomal RNA (330 nucleotides) under uncultured Chloroflexota bacterium. RNAcentral's name for it is "bacterial SSU rRNA". It matches the Rfam family "Bacterial small subunit ribosomal RNA", at positions 28 to 351 of the family's 1533-position model. The record is from RNAcentral. Lineage: Bacteria; Bacillati; Chloroflexota.
GAUGAACGCUGGCGGCGUGCUUAAUACAUGCAAGUCGAACGAGGUGCUUUUGUAGCAAUACGGAAGUAUCCUAGUGGCGAACGGGUGAGUAACGCGUUGGUGACCUACCCCGAAGUGUGGGAUAACAGUCCGAAAGGAUUGCUAAUACCGCAUGUGGUCCCCGGGUUUAGAAACCGGUGACUAAAGCAGUAAUGCGCUUUGGGAGGGACCUGCGUCCCAUCAGCUAGUUGGUGAGGUAACGGCUCACCAAGGCGUCGACGGGUAAGGGACCUGAGAGGGUGGUCCCUCACAAUGGCACUGAAACACGGGCCAUACACCUACGGGUGGCAG